This 506-nucleotide ribosomal RNA is filed under the name Bidessus pumilus. RNAcentral's name for it is "partial 16S ribosomal RNA". The stretch from base 383 to 506 matches the Rfam family "Bacterial large subunit ribosomal RNA", at positions 2473 to 2597 of the family's 2925-position model. The record is from RNAcentral. Lineage: Eukaryota; Metazoa; Arthropoda; Insecta; Coleoptera; Dytiscidae.
GUCCUUUAGAAUAGAAUUUAAGGUCUAACCUGCCCACUGAUUAAUUUAACGGCCGCAGUAUUUUGACUGUGCAAAGGUAGCAUAAUCAUUAGUUUUUUAAUUGAAAGCUUGUAUGAAUGGUUGGACGAGAUAUAGACUGUCUUUUGAAUAAAAAUAGAAUUUAAUUUUUAAGUUAAAAAGCUUAAAUAAAAUUAAAAGACGAGAAGACCCUAUAAAUCUUUAUAAAUUUUCUAUUAUAAUUUUUUAGGAUUAAUAGUUUUUAUAAUAUUUAGUUUAUUUUAUUGGGGUAAUAAAAAGAUUAAAAUAAUUCUUUUAUAUGUUUUUCAUUGAUUAGUGUUUUUAAUGAUCCUAUAUUAUAGAUUUAAGAUUAAGUUACUUUAGGGAUAACAGCGUAAUUUUUUUGAAGAGUUCUUAUCGAUAAAAAAGUUUGCGACCUCGAUGUUGGAUUAAAAUUAAUUUUAGGUGUAGAAGUUUAAAUUUUUAGUCUGUUCGACUAUUGAAAUUUU